AGAAUCAACGCUGGCGGCGUGCCUAACACAUGCAAGUCGAACGAGAAAGUGGAGCAAUCCAUGAGUACAGUGGCGACCGGGUGAGUAACACGUGACCAAUCUACCUUCGAGUGGGGGAUAACUCCGGGAAACCGGGGCUAAUACCGCAUAACAUCUUUGGAAUGCAAAUUCCGUUGAUCAAAGGAGCAAUUCGCUUGAAGAGGAGGUCGCGGCUGAUUAGCUAGUUGGCGGGGUAAUGGCCCACCAAGGCGAAGAUCGGUA
RNAcentral lists this ribosomal RNA (261 nucleotides) under uncultured bacterium. RNAcentral's name for it is "partial small subunit ribosomal RNA". It matches the Rfam family "Bacterial small subunit ribosomal RNA", at positions 26 to 285 of the family's 1533-position model. The record is from RNAcentral.